RNAcentral lists this ribosomal RNA (253 nucleotides) under uncultured bacterium. RNAcentral describes it as "partial 16S ribosomal RNA". It matches the Rfam family "Bacterial small subunit ribosomal RNA", at positions 524 to 776 of the family's 1533-position model. The record is from RNAcentral.
GACGAAGGUGGCAAGCGUUGUUCGGAAUCACGGGGCAUAAAGCGCACGUAGGCGGCUAAGUAAGUCGGAUGUGAAAUACCUCGGCUCAACCGAGGAACUGCGUCCGAUACUGCUUGGCUUGAGGUCCGGAGGGGAGAGUGGAAUUCCCGGUGGAGCGGUGAAAUGCGUAGAGAUCGGGAAGAACGCCGGCGGCGAAAGCGACUCUCUGGUCGGAAUCUGACGCUGAGGUGCGAAAGCUAGGGGAGCAAACGGG